CGUUAACCAGGAUGUUCUCGAUCUCCUGACCUCGUGAUCCGCCCACCUCGGCCUCCCAAAGUGCUGGGAUUAUAGGUGUGAGCCACCGCGCCCGGCCUGAGACCAGCUCCCCUCCCAGCUAGGUGACUGAGGAUGACCUGGCACAGUCGUGCUGACUGAAGGCUUGGAGAGGCCAGGUGGCCACCUGAGUGGGGCGUCUCCCCAGGACUUCCUGAACCGUGGCCUCCAGCUCCUCUGUGGACACAGCCAUCUUGGCGUGCACCGUGCCACCUGCCCCGGUCCCCCAGAGGCUGCAUCAGGAUCCUGGGCUCAGCUCAGCGGGGACCACAUCCAGGCUUCCCACAGCCCAGCCACUGCCCGCUCCUGGCCCAGCGCCAGCUUCCCCACCCCCUCCCACUCCACUUCUCCCUCGGCCCCAGGCCCAGCUUCUCUCCUUGCCCAGCCCUGUGGUCCUUACCCUGACAACCUUCUCCCCAGCCACUGUCAUCUCCCCUCUCUCUCCCCCUGGCAGCCCAGCCCCCAGGCCCCCACCUACCUCCUAGAAGCCUCCAAUUCCCCCAACCAGGCAGGUCCUGGGGAGCACAGGCUGCUUCCUGCUUCCGGCUCCACACCACCUGAGGCCUUGGCAACCAGCCCCGCCCUCCCCAGGGCCAGCAGAGGCCGCCCAGCCCAGGGGAGAGGGCCCAGGCCCAGCAGGUGCGCUCCCUGGCUCCCCACUGC
Homo sapiens (human) is the source of this 720-nucleotide long non-coding RNA. The record is from Ensembl. Lineage: Eukaryota; Metazoa; Chordata; Mammalia; Primates; Hominidae.